CGAGGCAACGGUGAAGAGCAAGUGAGGUCAAGAUCGAUGAACCAAUACGGUCACGUGAUGAUAUGAAGUGGAUCAUAUCAUUUGGUGAUUGGUUGGUGCAUGUGUUGCAUCAACAUUGGAGGAGAUGGAAUGGAAUGCGCAAGGCAAAGGUAUAACCUAGGGUAUUUCCAUUUCACCGGUCAUAGGUGUGUAGAGAAGUUUAUGACCGGAUUUAGGAUAGAUGGCCGUACUAUCAAGAGGGGCAAACUUGUUUGCAUAUCGGUCAUCUAGUGCCA
This 275-nucleotide long non-coding RNA is filed under the name Sorghum bicolor (sorghum). Its description in RNAcentral is "long non-coding RNA (SBIC_LNC005465)". The record is from RNAcentral. Lineage: Eukaryota; Viridiplantae; Streptophyta; Magnoliopsida; Poales; Poaceae.